GUCUCUGACCACACCACCCUGAACGCACCAGCUCUCAUCUGAUCUCGGAAGCUUAGCAGGGUCGGGGCCAGGUUAGUGCUUGGAUGGGAGAAAGCAGGAUGUGGACC
RNAcentral lists this ribosomal RNA (107 nucleotides) under Oryctolagus cuniculus (rabbit). Lineage: Eukaryota; Metazoa; Chordata; Mammalia; Lagomorpha; Leporidae. The record is from RNAcentral.